GACGUAGGGCGCAAGCGUUGUCCGGAUUUAUUGGGCGUAAAGAGCUCGUAGGCGGCUUGUCGCGUCGACUGUGAAAACCCGCAGCUUAACUGCGGGACUGCAGUCGAUACGGGCAGGCUAGAGUUCGGUAGGGGAGACUGGAAUUCCUGGUGUAGCGGUGAAAUGCGCAGAUAUCAGGAGGAACACCGGUGGCGAAGGCGGGUCUCUGGGCCGACACUGACGCUGAGGAGCGAAAGCGUGGGGAGCGAACAGG
Molecule: ribosomal RNA, 253 nt
Filed under: uncultured bacterium
Lineage: Bacteria
Description: partial 16S ribosomal RNA
Rfam family: Bacterial small subunit ribosomal RNA
Source: RNAcentral